ACCUGGCUGGCUCAGUUGGUAAAGCAUGAGAUUCUUGAUCUCAGGGUCAUGAGUUUGAACCCCACUUUGGGUA
Molecule: transfer RNA, 73 nt
Filed under: Ailuropoda melanoleuca (giant panda)
Lineage: Eukaryota; Metazoa; Chordata; Mammalia; Carnivora; Ursidae
Rfam family: tRNA
About the family: Transfer RNA (tRNA) molecules are approximately 80 nucleotides in length. Their secondary structure includes four short double-helical elements and three loops (D, anti-codon, and T loops).
Source: Rfam by way of RNAcentral